RNAcentral lists this long non-coding RNA (1125 nucleotides) under Salvia miltiorrhiza (redroot sage). Its description in RNAcentral is "long non-coding RNA (SMIL_LNC014366)". The record is from RNAcentral. Lineage: Eukaryota; Viridiplantae; Streptophyta; Magnoliopsida; Lamiales; Lamiaceae.
GGGUUCACCGGAUAUUGCGGCGGCAAUUUCCGACGAAAUGGGAGAAUUAGGGCUCGUCCUUGACGCUAAGCGUGUGCAGUCGAGCGAGCUCCGAGGUUUAGGGCCCAAGAGAGAAAGAAAGGGGCGGCGCCCUCCGCCGGCCUCGCCGGAGCUUGAAUAAGCGACAACGACGAUCAAAUUUUGAGCGAGAGAGAUGAAUUAAUUAAAAAGUUAAAAUGUGUAGAUUAGCCCCUGAACUCCGAAAAAACGGUGCAGAUCGCCCCCUUGACUAACGGCCCAUAACGGUGUUAAGUCAGAGGGGCCAAUCUGCACCGUUUUUUUGAGUUCGGGGGCCAAUUUGCACACACAGUUAGUAAGGGGACUGAAACGCUAUAAGGGCCUCCAUUUGAGGGGCCUAUCUGCACCUCAACCCAAGAUUAAAUGCAUGUAUAGGUUUACCUGCUCUAUUUUAUUUUUAUUUUUCAAAAAAAUUACAAGAAGUAUCUAAUAUAUAAUCAAAUAAGCAAAACAACCCGUAUGCAGACGAUACCUCUACACCACACAAAGGUGGAAAACUACCCGCACACAGAUGAGAUUGAAUCCAAGACCUCUCACAGAGGAGAGUCUUUGGGUGUUUCAACUUUACAUGCUCUUUUUUUUAAAAUGCACUUACACUUUAUUUGAUAAAAUUAGUGUAUUAGAUUGAAAUUCGGUAGGAUGUUAAAGGAUUUCGAAAGUUUUGGUGUAUUCAAUCCAAACUUUUAAAAGUCCUUUAAAAUCUAGAGGUAUUCAAUCCAGAUUUUUUAAAGUUUUUUAAAAUCAGGUGGUAUUCAACAUUUCAUGGAUUUUAAUAAUUCAUGGAUUCUGAUGGAUUUGUCAAAAAAAUACAAAUGACAAAAUCCGAGCUUUAGACUUGAGAUUUUCGAUAGAUUCCUCUAAACUUCACGCGACUCCACUCGGAUUCUAUGGACUUCGAAAGUCCUUUAAAAUUUAUGGACUUUUUAAAGUGCUUUAAAAUCCUACAUAAUCUCAAUCCAAUACACCCCUAAAUAUGUAUAUGUUCAUUUUAUUAAAAUCAAGUUUAUUGCGAUAAAUGUAUCUAGCUAUGCUUAGUUAUAUAAACGAAUGUCGUACACGCAACUCAAG